GUUUCCGUAGUGUAGUGGUUAUCACAUCCGCCUAACACGCGGAAGGUCCUGGGUUCGAGCCCCAGCAGAAACA
Molecule: transfer RNA, 73 nt
Filed under: Pomacea canaliculata
Lineage: Eukaryota; Metazoa; Mollusca; Gastropoda; Architaenioglossa; Ampullariidae
Description: tRNA-Val
Rfam family: tRNA
About the family: Transfer RNA (tRNA) molecules are approximately 80 nucleotides in length. Their secondary structure includes four short double-helical elements and three loops (D, anti-codon, and T loops). Further hydrogen bonds mediate the characteristic L-shaped molecular structure. tRNAs have two regions of fundamental functional importance: the anti-codon, which is responsible for specific mRNA codon recognition, and the 3' end, to which the tRNAs corresponding amino acid is attached (by aminoacyl-tRNA synthetases). tRNAs cope with the degeneracy of the genetic code in two manners: having more than one tRNA (with a specific anti-codon) for a particular amino acid; and 'wobble' base-pairing, i.e. permitting non-standard base-pairing at the 3rd anti-codon position.
Source: Rfam by way of RNAcentral